Molecule: long non-coding RNA, 432 nt
Organism: Oncorhynchus tshawytscha (Chinook salmon)
Lineage: Eukaryota; Metazoa; Chordata; Actinopteri; Salmoniformes; Salmonidae
Source: Ensembl
AGUGCACUACUAUAGACCCUCUUCCCUAUAUAGUGCACUACUAUAGACCCUCUUCCCUAUACUAUGCACUACUAUAGACCCUCUUCCCUAUACAGUGGUACUACUAUAGACCCUCUUCCCUAUAUAGUGGUACUACUAUAGACCCUCUUCCCUAUAUAGUGGUACUACUAUAGACCCUCUUCCCUAUACAGUGGUACUACUAUAGACCCUCUUCCCUACAUAGUGGCACUACUAUAGACCCUCUUCCCUAUACAGUGGUACUACUAUAGACCCUCUUCCCUAUAUAGUGGUACUACUAUAGACCCUCUUCCCUAUACAGUGCACUACUAUAGACCCUCUUCCCUUUACAGUGCACUACUAUAGACCCUAUUCCCUAUAUAGUGGUACUACUAUAGACCCUAUUCCCUAUACAGUGCACUACUAUAGACCCCU